CUCUUUGGAUUAAUAUGUGCUGUCCUGGGCCUCGCGUUCUUGAGUCGGGUAUGAGCAAACAAGAUUCACAAAAGAUCACCUGGGAUUGGGGAAAAAGCCGAAAAUCCUGUCACCAAAGAAACCGCUUGAGAACAUUAUGCCAAGCCAGUCACAAGAAGACAAAUUCUGCCUGAUCCAACUUCUAUGAGGAACUUGUCUGACCCUGUGACAUGCUUCAAUCAACAGAAGGCAGCAUAAGCCAUGCUGUGUAGCUGCUGAGUCCUAAA
This is a long non-coding RNA of Ictidomys tridecemlineatus (thirteen-lined ground squirrel), 266 nucleotides long. RefSeq lists it as uncharacterized. NCBI's taxonomy places the organism in Eukaryota, Metazoa, Chordata, Mammalia, Rodentia, Sciuridae. The record is from RefSeq and is a predicted model, not a curated record.